AAAAUAUUUGGCAGUGUAGCUUUCAGUUGGUUCACUGUUUAUUAUUGUUUUGGCCAUAUGAAUACUUUCAAGUUAUAGCACAACUUAAUAUUCAAGAGACUGAGGACCAGAAAUACAUUUUUAAAAA
Molecule: long non-coding RNA, 127 nt
Organism: Dipodomys spectabilis (banner-tailed kangaroo rat)
Lineage: Eukaryota; Metazoa; Chordata; Mammalia; Rodentia; Heteromyidae
Exons: 3
Source: RefSeq, a predicted model, not a curated record